Long non-coding RNA from Helianthus annuus (common sunflower), 862 nucleotides. RefSeq lists it as uncharacterized. The transcript has 3 exons. The record is from RefSeq and is a predicted model, not a curated record. NCBI's taxonomy places the organism in Eukaryota, Viridiplantae, Streptophyta, Magnoliopsida, Asterales, Asteraceae.
UAUUAUAUUGUGUUUAUAUAAACCUGAACUUAUGAAUGAUUAUAGUACAUACAGAACACUUUACUUGGUAAAUAUUAGUUAAUGAUAUGGUAAUUUUUUUUUCAACAUCAGCAACGGUUAUAACAAUUAUUUUAUUAUAAAUUGUAUUAUAAUAGUUUAGUUUCUUUUAUAAGUCAAAUUAAAUUAAAAGAGUUUGUUUUGCAAACUGCCUAAUACUCUAGGGUAGGAAUUGUAAAAAGUAAUUAUUAUAUAAAUCAUUUCACCUUCUCUGUUCUGUUCGUAACCUAAAAACCGCCGCAACACCAUCCAUUGCCGUCACGAACCAAGUUUCGCUACUGACAUCGAACGACCGAAUGGGUGUAUUCGUUUAUGUCCUUUCACCUCUAUGUGACCCAGUUAUACGAGAGUUCCGCCAGCAUUGUACCGGUUCUCGUUAAGCAACCAAACUUGGUCACAAGUACGCCACCACCAAGAACUGUGCUAACUUUGAGCCGCUUUUGUCCGACUAUUUAAGAACUCCAAAUUGUUAUUUCUCACUCGCCCUGCUUGCCGUGUAAGGUUAUUUCCCAUCGUCGUUUGAAGUUGUCCUCAUAUUCUUUUAGCGCGCUUAGUUCUAUAAGGAGUCACAAGCGCAACCACUCAUAAUCUCGAGACUUCAUCAAUCCCGCUCGCGGUUUAGCAUUACCAUGCGCAAAACUGUUGACGAUAUAAUUAAAGAUGCAAGGAAUCUAGUAGGAUUGCCUAGAAAUACAUUUAAAACUUUAAUACUUGUUAUUUUGUAACUUACUUUCAAACUUGUUGUAUCGUGUUUCCAAAUAACGUACUAAAUUAUUAUCAAUGAAAUGAAAGUUUAUUAUUUGAA